This 216-nucleotide ribosomal RNA is filed under the name Glomeromycotina sp. RNAcentral describes it as "partial small subunit ribosomal RNA". The stretch from base 40 to 216 matches the Rfam family "Eukaryotic small subunit ribosomal RNA", at positions 686 to 864 of the family's 1831-position model. Lineage: Eukaryota; Fungi; Glomeromycota. The record is from RNAcentral.
GGGUCAGUAGGUUGGUCGUGCCACCGGUACGUACUGGCCUCACUGAUUCCUCCUUCCUGAAGAACCGUAAUGCCAUUAAUUUGGUGUUGCAGGGAAACAGGACUGUUACUUUGAAAAAAUUAGAGUGUUUAAAGCAAGCUAACGCUUGAAUACAUUAGCAUGGAAUAAUGAAAUAGGACGAUCGAUCCUAUUUUGUUGGUUUCUAGGAUUGACGUA